AUACCUUUCUCAGCUUCUUGGCUAAGAUCAAAUGUAAUAUCUGUUCUUAUCAGUUUAAUAUCUGAUACAUGCAUCUACGGAUUUAUGAGAUAUUAAGUUAAUUUUUCUGUGGGGGAGAAUCCGCCUAUUGGCCGUUCUCAUGCGUCGUCCAAGCGUUGCACUAUUGAUUGUUGACUUGACCCAU
Non-coding RNA from Triticum aestivum (bread wheat), 184 nucleotides. The record is from Rfam. Lineage: Eukaryota; Viridiplantae; Streptophyta; Magnoliopsida; Poales; Poaceae.